This is a non-coding RNA of Cicer arietinum (chickpea), 966 nucleotides long. The record is from RefSeq and is a predicted model, not a curated record. NCBI's taxonomy places the organism in Eukaryota, Viridiplantae, Streptophyta, Magnoliopsida, Fabales, Fabaceae.
CUAGCUUAUUAUACAGAGGACACACAUUUUGCUUCAACUCACUGAACCGAGGCUGCCAUGAAUUUUCCUGAUCCACCUUAUCUGUCUCAGGAGGAGACAUGGCAUCCAAGCAACGAGGUUCAGAUUCAAAUGAGUCACUAGAUUUCUCUAAGAGGUCCACAAGAUGGCUGUUGGUCCUUUUAACGUCCUCAGUGUUUUGCUGAGGAGCAUCCAGAUCACUGUGCCCAUUCCCUGAGGAUGACUUACCAUCUAUCUCCACAACUUGAAUCAUGGUUAUCUUCAGAUUUAGCUUUGCUAGUCAUCUCCUCCCAACCUUGACAUGGAUCAGGCCCGCCAAAUGUGGGAGGACAACCAUCCAAGAGAAAGUUGUCUUCAGAAUUUUCAGAUUGCUUAAAAAGGUGCUCAUUGGAAAUAGACGAACUGGAUGUUGUUCUGUCAAGAUUCUCAUAAGCGGUUUCUGUCCCUGGACGAGGAUCAUUAGCAACACCGGACUCUGAGGCCCAAUCUUGAUCUACUUUUAUAACCUGGUCUUUCCCAGCUGAUUGGAGCAAACUUUCAACAUGAGAUUGAAAGACAUCACGUUGCCGAGGCUAAUGGUACAAAUGAUGGCUGUUCUGGCAUUGCCUCCUAAAGAGUUAUGCAGAAUGCGAGUAAGCUUGGAAUCUCUGUAAGAAUACAAUUUUUGGAUUCCUAACAGUUUGGUAAAAAAGAAUCUUGAGAGUUGCGUCUUGAGAGUUCCUAGCAAUGAAGUUUGACAAGAAAUCAACAUCAACAACAUGAAAGAAUAUUGGCUCAUAAGAUUUCAUGAUCUACCAAACUAUUACAUCCACUGGUAAACAAAACAUUUUAUGAAUAAUCUGAUAUUGCACAACAAACAAAGUUGAGAAGAAGAUUAAGAAGCAAAUAGAUGCAAAUAAACUUUAUUUUUAACAUGGGAGGAAAUUGUACCUCAGUUUCCUAAUUACA